Molecule: long non-coding RNA, 952 nt
Filed under: Macaca nemestrina (pig-tailed macaque)
Lineage: Eukaryota; Metazoa; Chordata; Mammalia; Primates; Cercopithecidae
Description: lncRNA (ENSMNEG00000045603.1)
Source: RNAcentral
AUGCAUGCUUUGACAGGCAUCAUGGGAAUCACCAAGGCAGCAGAUGGUCUAUGCACAAUUCCCUCAAGCAUAAAACAACAUUUCUGUACUUGUCAUUGGGACCUUAAAUUGCACACUGUUCUAUCUGAUUAUUUUCAAAUUCUGGAUUUGUUGCAGGGACUCAAAACAACUUGCAUGAAAGAAUUGAGACAACAAGAAGAAUUAGAGGAGCAGGUAUUUAGACAUAUAGACACUCUAAAAGCUCAAGAGAUCAGUUAUUCAACUCUAAGAAUUGAAACUUGAACAUAGAUUUUGAGCUUCCAAAUCAGGCAAUUAUAAAUUCAAGACAUCAGACAGCUUCCAGGACUGAGCCUACCUAGAUAAAGUGUGAGGAGGUUAGUGCUGCCCAUAAUUAAGUUCAUUGUUUCCUUCAUAUAUCCCAGCUGAAUCACAUGACUCUUACACAUUUAAGAAAAUUAAUACUUUUUUUACUUUAGCAUUAUGUGACCCACACUUUAUUAUGUUUCACGAGACUCUUUCUGUAGUCUCAACUUUGUAUAUUGCCUUAAGCCAUGAAUACAAGUAAACACUGCAGAACGUGUGAGGCAUUUGAUGUAACUGAGUUUUAGAAGAUACCUUAUUUGAUAUUCUGGAUAAUUAUAGAAUAUCGUGUUUCUUUUCAGCAGACUGUCAUCUCAUAUUCACCCUGAAUGAAGAAUGAGUAAAUUUAAGAAUGUUCUUUUCCUAUCAAAUUGAAAUGUUGCUUCUUUUCAUUUUGCAUAUUUUUGCUUUUUGUGUUCUUUUGAUUAGGUGAACUAAUGUUUUUUUUUUAAUCUUAUGGUUUGCUUUUAUUGCCAAUAGUCAACAUUUGGUUUUAUUUAUUAUUUGUAUACUUUUUAUUAUUUUCUAAUGUUUAAUGUCUGUAUUUCUCUUUAGUAAUUACUUUCAUCAAAUUUUCUUAGGUUCAUUUGGU